RNAcentral lists this long non-coding RNA (1142 nucleotides) under Coturnix japonica (Japanese quail). RNAcentral describes it as "lncRNA (ENSCJPG00005007285.1)". Lineage: Eukaryota; Metazoa; Chordata; Aves; Galliformes; Phasianidae. The record is from RNAcentral.
CAGUGCUCAGCUGAGCCUUUAUCAGCUGCUGGUAUUAAGGACACGUUGAAGAACAGAUUUAUUGGGCUGCUGUCUGCAGUGAGCACACUAGAAGAGAAAUAAGACUGUCCCGUUGCAAGAGGUUUCAUUCCACUUCAUGCUGAACCAAAAGGAAUAGAUCAGCACCAAGAGCCGUGGCUGUGAGCAUGACCCAGGACUGUCCAUCUCCAGGCUCCUCACAGCAAGGUGCUGCUCCUUCCAAGUGGAGCCACAACAAGACAGCUCCCAGGCACUUCACUACCCAACCUCCAAUGUUUGUUAAGCUCUCCCUUCCUAUGAUGAGCUCUCUGAAGAAAACAGCAAUGAGAGAGAGGGACCCCUGUCCGUGUGCCGACCUCAGAAAGUUUGAGGUAGGCACCAAAGGCACCCAGCCUCAUACAGUGCUCACAGGCGCGUCUGAGCAAAGCCCCACACAUAAUACCACGGCAUUAUUCCUAUUCACGUAGCCGCUGAUCCAUGACGCUGGAAGUAUUUUAAAGACACUGACCCAGAGUCUCAGUAAUGGAGCUGGGGGUGAUGGAAAUGCCCGUUCUGUUCCUACAUCUGCAGUUUAGGUUAUGUGAUCUUACCGUGCUGCUUCAAAACCACAAAACACUGUGGGGGUGUUUGCGGAUUUGCACAUCUCUUAUACUUCACCAUUGUAUGGUAAGUUACACUGGAGCCUCUCCUGAGCUCAUGAACAAAAGCCCAUUGUGUAAGGGUGUUAUACCCCACGUGCUCGGCCCGGGACCUAUAUGUGUCUCAUGAAAGUAGUGGGGAUCUUGCAUGAGAACUGCUUUCUAGUAUUUCUGCUUGGAUUUUAAUGACAUUUGUGCAGGUGCACAGCUUAUAAAAGGAAUCUUUCAAUUCAGCAGCCAUUCCUAGUGAAGAUGGGUUUUUAGUAGCAGCCUCCAGAAUUGUAGUGCAUCACUCAGUGUUACUCCUUUGUGUUUUUUAAGGGGGUGCUUGAGUGUAUUUCCAGUAAAUGGGGUAUGUCUGUACAUGGCCGAGGGAGGGCUUGUGCCACUCCAUGAAAGUUAAAUCAAGUCCAGGACAACUGCACAGGAGGAUAUGUGCAGAAUAAGCUCAUCUUUUCAGCACAGUGCUGUUUCACAUUAGUAGAC